RNAcentral lists this unclassified non-coding RNA (189 nucleotides) under uncultured Trechispora. RNAcentral describes it as "sequence contains ITS1". Lineage: Eukaryota; Fungi; Basidiomycota; Agaricomycetes; Polyporales; Polyporaceae. The record is from RNAcentral.
ACGCAUCUCUGGCGGCGAGGGUGCGCCCUGCUCCGGACCGAAAGGCCGUGCAGCGGGCUAGCCCGGACCGCUCAACCUUUGCAAACCCACCGUGCACUUUUGUCGGCAGAGGGCCUCGUGGCCCCGAGCCGGAUCGCAAACACUUUGUCGAACGAAUGUGAGCGGACACUGAGCCGCCUAAAACUUUAA